This 430-nucleotide ribosomal RNA is filed under the name Bacteroidota bacterium. RNAcentral describes it as "Bacteroidetes bacterium partial 16S ribosomal RNA". It matches the Rfam family "Bacterial small subunit ribosomal RNA", at positions 355 to 776 of the family's 1533-position model. The record is from RNAcentral. Lineage: Bacteria; Pseudomonadati; Bacteroidota.
UAGGGAAUCUUCGGCAAUGGGGGGAACCCUGACCGAGCAACGCCGCGUGAGUGAAGAAGGUUUUCGGAUCGUAAAGCUCUGUUGUUAAGGAAGAACGAGUGUGAGAAUGGAAAGUUCAUACUGUGACGGUACUUAACCAGAAAGCCACGGCUAACUACGUGCCAGCAGCCGCGGUAAUACGUAGGUGGCAAGCGUUGUCCGGAUUUAUUGGGCGUAAAGCGAGCGCAGGCGGUCAAUUAAGUCUGAUGUGAAAGCCCCCGGCUCAACCGGGGAGGGUCAUUGGAAACUGGUGGACUUGAGUGCAGAAGAGGAGAGUGGAAUUCCAUGUGUAGCGGUGAAAUGCGUAGAUAUAUGGAGGAACACCAGUGGCGAAGGCGACUCUCUGGUCUGUAACUGACGCUGAGGCUCGAAAGCGUGGGUAGCAAACAGG